Non-coding RNA from Globicephala melas (long-finned pilot whale), 10989 nucleotides. Lineage: Eukaryota; Metazoa; Chordata; Mammalia; Artiodactyla; Delphinidae. The record is from RefSeq and is a predicted model, not a curated record.
AUCUAGAAGAAUAAAUCUGUGCCAGUUACCAAUUUAUUGCCUCUUAGCUCCACAUUCACCCUUCAGUAUAUGCUCUGUGACAGUGGACACUUGAAUCUCCUUCACAGUGAGCAUGACGUUAAGCUUUCUCAGUAGAGGGCGCUGGAGGGCAGGCAGGAAGGAAAGGACUACCCUGCUGUUUGCGCUGCUGCCUGGUGCAGGAGUGGCGUGGUGUGAGGAUAUCUGAGGGAGUUCUGCCCCAACCAUGGGUCACCUCAGUGACCUUGCAGCCUCAGCAGGGAUAACCUUCUCCCAGCUCUGUGGACUUGAAACGACACACCUUGAAGGAUUCCUGCUUGCAUUCGUGCCCCAAAGGCAUUCUGCCAAUACCCUCUUCCCUCAGGCCCCUAGCAGAUAACCUGACUCAGAGGGUUUUCACUGAGCGGCCAGCCCCUCUGCAGGCCUACACUACCUGUGCACGUCUAUGCUCUGGGUUGCCUCCUGCUUGCCCAGGGACUGCAGACCGGCUUCUGGCCUGGGCAAAGAACAAAAUUCUCUGCUGUCAGUGAACUGAGUUCUCCAAAAAGCUCUGAACCCCAGCCUUUGUGAGGGCGGCCCUUUCCAAGUUUAUCUUUUCUUGGGUACUCUUCAUUAGCUCAAGGGUAUCAUACAGAAUUUCCUUAUAUUCUAUAGAUACUUGUUUAUCAGAAUACAAUAAUUUCUCAUACUAAACUUCCACUGUGUAAAGCGAUAGCAAUACUGAUGUCUUAGCAAGAAAUGCAGCUGCUUUUCCACUUACAGAAGAUUUGAGAGGAAUUUAUAGAAUGAGGCAGGACUAAGGGAACCAGUUUCUUUCUCCACAACUUUUUUCCUAAUUUUGAUUUUAGGCUUUUAAAAUCAGUUGGUGGCUCCUUUCACUUCUCAAAGGAAAGGAACACAUUUUUGUUUCAUUACCUAGACUGUCAGAUCCAAGCCAAGAGAAAUUCUAACCCAUAGGUAGCACGAGACUAGUGAUGAAGCCACAGAAAUCUGAGUACGGUCCCCACUGCAAAGGUCAGUCGUGAUUUCAGCAUGUCAGAUCUUAGUUCCCUGACCAGGGAUCGAAGGCGUGCCCCCUGCAGUGGAAGCGCGGAGUCUUAACCACUGGACCGCCAGGGAAGUCCCUGGUUUCUGCUUUAUAUGCCCCAAAGAACCUCAGUUAAGCCCUCCCUCCUCAUUUCAACAGACUCUUGGGAGCUGACCCAAACUUGCUAAUCUUCAAGUCUGAAAACCAGUUGAUGGUUUUCAUCAUCAUAAAAGGAUCCCCUUGGAGCAAAGGAAAAAAAUGUUUGGUUUCGACAGUGCCUCUGGGAGAAACUCAAGACGCGUUGACUGUGGACCCUCCCUGCAUUCUUUGGGCUCGAGCAGCCACCGCAAGAUGCAAAGCAGCAUGAGAAAAGGCUGAGUCAGACAACAUGUAGCAACAAGCCCAGGAACUUCUCCAGGGGCCCAGGAAGUUGGAAGCCUCCCAGUUACGUCGUAGGACAUUGUCCUUUCUUGGAACUUUGAAGGAUUCUUGAGUGUCAGCAAGGCCAUCCCACUCCCACCUGACUUCUCACAGGACGUGGUAUCUCUGAAAGGAUCAUAUCCACAGGGACGAUUAUUGACUGAACGGACAUUCCUGGCGAUGUAAUGCGUGUCCUGCAAUCCUGACCAACAACUUGCUCGUGGUCGCUGUGCCCAUGAUUUUGGCUGAGAAUGCUAUUCGGAGGGAAAAGGUGGCUUCUACUACGGAUGAUUUUUUUAAUAAUUUUUUUUAAUAGUAGAGAAAGAAUGCAAAAUAGGAAAGGGAUCAAGAAUAGGCUUAUUAUCUAGUUAAAGUUAACGAUGAAAAUUAGGUUAGUGAUUUCUUCUCAUCAGAGCACAGAGGUCAAAAGCCCUGUGAUAAAUAUCACAUCCGUCUGAGAAUUAGAUUUCACAGUCCUACUCGGUACCUCACUCAUCUCACAUAACAGAACAACAUUUCAAUGGAGCAAAAGAAGGGGUAACUAUCCUCAGAGCAUCAUAGCUUUCAGGUGCUUGUGGUGCCUCGCAGUAUAUCACCUGCUCUUCUCUGGGGGGUCACUUACUUUGACAUGUAUAAAUUAGAAAAGUGAUGAAAAGGACUGAAUGUGUAAAACGUUCCCAGUCAGAUCCUUAAGGAUAAUUUAGAAGAGUGUUGGGAAUUGGGAGCCCCAGAAUCCCCUGAGGAACUUCACUAAGAACUGCUGCAGACAUUUGCUGGCUAGCUUCAACCUGCUCUGACCUCAGGGAAACCACUCCGUAUCAGCAAGACACACCGACUGGAGGUGAUCUCAGGCUCCUGUGUUGGCCUAAGUCUGAUGAAGAGUCAGUUGGAGGUACUGUUUUUCUUUACUUCAAAAUGACCAUGCAGUGUGGCUACUGAAUGCUGUCCCUGGUUCUACUGAUUCCCUGGGAGAUGGAUGUAAGAGAGAAGCUUUUGAAAACAUUCCUGGGAAACCAAGGUGCCGUCUUAUAAUGCAGUCUGACGGUGUAAAACCUCCGAAGAAUGAAGCAAUGGCUUUUGCUGAUGGCUCAUGAGAAAUCUGUGGGUGGCCUAGUGAUUCUAAGUUCAUCAAAUACAUCUGUAUUGGGGGUCAAAACUACGUUUUUGAAGUUCUUAACCAGAAAAUUUUCAUUAAUUAAAAUGUACUAAGAAAAACGAGCAUUUGAUACCCUCCUAAGAACUUCACUCUCCCAGUUCUCUAGGACUGGCUGCUAUAGUACUUGUAGCCCAAAUAGCACAGUUGGCCACCCCCCCCCCCCCGAGGAUUCAACACAUGUAAAAACAACAACAGAACUAAAGCACAGCCUGGGAUUCACCACCUGCUUAAAGUAUUGGGUUGUUGCCAUCUCCGGCAGCUGACAACAUAGCCUGGUCGCUGGCCCAUCAUCUCCUUCCAUCUUCCACUCUCUAUAUUUUAAUAAUAUUUACAUCUUGGGCUCUCGAGUACCCUCUCAGAUGUUAUUAUUGAAGCAGAAUAGUGCAAAAUCAGUCUUCAGAGGUUAAGGAGGGAGUUUUCAGUGAAAAUGUAGUUGGUAAGUUUUGACAUUUUAGGAAAAGAAACUUUUUUGAAAAGCAUCAUUAAAACAGCCUGCUAAAAUAUCUCACCAAAGAAGUUGUAUUUAGCUCAAAUCUCGUAUAGGAGGACAGCAUGAAUUCAGUUUUGAAUUGACUUGGGUUCCGGCCUCCUUAUCAACAGGUUGGAGAGUUGUCCUUGUUAGUAAAAUUUAGCUUUCUCUCCACCCCAGUGAUAAUGAUAGGAAGCACUAGGAAAGGAUACGCUCGCCAUGCUGCAUAAAGCCUUCUUCCUGGGAAGGCGUGUGUGCUCCCGACUGCUGUGGGAGCACAGUGAUGAAGACUGGCAGCAGUGGCAGCCGGGGCUCCCCCAUACUCAGCUUAAGACAAGCACUGAAGGUCUACUCACUGUUGAGAGUUUAAGAAAAAAGUCUCCACACUCAAUGUGACUGUCUUUGGAAUUCUUCGUUUCAUUAAGGUUCUCACAAAAUACAAAGCUCAAAUGUAACCGUCUACGUCCACCACAAAACAGAAUCAAGCUUUAUGUUGCAGACCCUUAAGUACGCGUACCUGUCGUCAGGAUACACUGCCCACAAGCAGGGAAGGCCACUGUGGGUACAUUCCUCAGGGUGACACGCACUUAUCCAUGUUGCCUCAAGCCUGUGGAAAACUAAACAGACACCCUCCGAUCAGUUCGCACAGUUUCAUUAAUUUUCUUUCUACCACGAAGUGACAACAGAAAGGGUCACGUCACUGGCGAGGCCUGGCGGCAGAGCCAGGGCCCCUGCCUUGGGCACGAAAUCCGAGGGAAGGCUCUCCAGCAGACACUUGACCUGCUCCUGGCCCAGCUUGAUCUUGUCGUCCAGCUCCCGCUGCUCGAUGAGGAGUGUCGACUUCAUUUUCACAAAAUGCUGGUAAUCCUGGAGUUGCUCCUUGGAAAGGUAAUGGGCCAGGAUGUCCAGCACCACGCGCUGCCUCCGGUCCACAUUCUCCUUGAGCUCCCGGGCGUCCUCGUGCUGCGCAGCCAGGACCUUCCUCUUCUCGUUGAGAGAGCUCUGCCAGGGCGAAACAAGCAGAUCAGCAAAGGGCCAGCAGAACGGGGAAAAGAACCGAACUGCCCGCAGAGAGACCUUUUUCAGGAUGGUGCAGUGUCUAAGUUUCUAUUUUGAUUGUCGAUCUAAAGUAAGGAGACUCAGUCAUUUGAAAAUCAGUUCAUUACCCUUACGUUGCAGAUAUAUGGUUCUCUAGCUUAUAAAGUCAUGUGGCGGCUUUAAUUUGAGAGAUUAUGUUAAAAUUGGCUGGGGUACUGGCUUUACUUUAAGGCUUCUAGACUUAGAAGAACAAUCAGGAUUCCAUUUAUAUGAGGUCCUUAGAAUAGUCUACAGUCAUAGAGACACGAAGCAGAAUGGUGGUUGCUAGGCUCUGGGCGAGGGGAGAAGGGAGGGGGAGUUGCUGUUUCAGUGGGUAUAGAGUUUCAGUUUCGCAAGAUGAGAAAGUUCUGGAGAUCUGUUACACAACAAUGUUAAUAUAGUUAAUACUACUGAACUGUACAGCUAAAAAUGGUUACGAUGGCAACUCUUAUAUGUAGUUUACCACAGUUAAACAACUGAAGGGAAAAAAAGCCAGUCAUCAAGGUACCUUGAGUGUUUACAAGUAUUUCCAUUUUAUAGUGGUUCUCAAAGUGGGUACCAGCAGCAUCUCCCGGGGAUUUGUUAGAAAUGCAAAAUUUCAGGCCCCCUUCCACCUACUGAAUCAAAAGUUCUGGAGGUGUGGGGCUUAGGGGUCUGUGGUUGAAGGAGCCUUUCGGGCGAUUCUUUGCAGUUAAAGUUUGAGAACCUCUGCCCCAAUCCAUAAUCAACAAUGGGAACAUCAUAUUUACCAUCUCCGAAAAAAUCAGUUUCCAUUUUUCCGGCCUCUGAAUCUAACAUGAGAGAAAUUCUAUUUGGCAAUGAUGGCAAUUUCAUAUUCUGAGAGUUUCUCAUACAGACCCAAUGGGAAGACAGCGUAUUAUCUUCAGACCUUAUAGAAGUCUGUAAUGUGGCCUUUUACUCAACACGCUGACAUAUAAUGUCAUUAAAAUUUUUAAAAAUUUUACAUUUAACCAGACUCUUCAGGCUAAAGUGAAUGAGAAACUUUAAAGUGGAAAUUAAUCAAGAAAUAAGAAUAUUUAAAUAGAUAUCUCAACACAGAUUAGCUUAGGUAGGGUUAUGAAAGGCUCAUGUGUCUCUGCCCUAAACUCCCCUUGAACUGGCCUGUCAGGUCUUACCUAAUAACGCCUAGAGGAAAAGUGCAAAGUUAAUAGGUUAAUCUUACAAAUAUCUCCAUUUUCAUAGGCUUCCUUCUCCUAAUCAGAAAAACACACCUAAAAAAGAAACCCUUAGGGACUGAAUUUGCAAUGAAGACAUGCUUCAAAAUACUGUAGGGAAGUAAGUUAAAAAGUGAGAACCUCUUCCUCACCUUUAAAAAAUUAUGAAAUAUUUUAAACAUCAGUAUUGUACAGAGAAUGGUAUAAGAUCUGUGUGCCCAUCAUCAACAGUGCCAAAUCUUAGCUUGAACAUGUUUCAUAUUUGCUUCAGUUUAAAAACAAAAUACUCAGUUGAAGCGUUAUAUAUAGUUCUCCCGAUGCCCCUCCUCCCCUCAUUGGUAACUAUAAUCCUGAAUCUGGCAUUUACUGAACCAUUUAUUCUUCCUUUCCUUAUUCCUAUUUACACUUUUAUUUAACAAAGACUAAUAAUCAUAAAAACGAAUACAGAUGUAUCUUGCAGGUGAGCAAGCACUUAUAUGUACUUGAGAGCGUGUACGUGCAUUUAAGUGCUGAGUGGUUCCAGAACUGGAUUCAACUUAUCUUCCCGUAAGCACUGCUCCAGUAUUGCUUAGCUCAGAUACCUGUGGCAUCCACCCAAGCGACCGAACAGGAGACUUGGAAUUACCUUCUGUUCUAUCCUUCCCCUCAUCUAACACGCCCUGCUAAUUCAAACUCAUUCUCUAAGUCACUCCCUAUUCUCUAUCUCCAUGACAAUGGCCCAAAUUAACAGCCUAAACCCAUCUGGCUAGACCAUUACAAUAAGCCUCCCAACUGUAACAUCAUUCUCACCCCUCCCCAGGCUGAUUAUGUCACGAAAUUAGUUCAUGGCUCUCCAGGCCUACAGGCUAAAGUCUAAAGUACGACCCUUAGGUCUUUGUGAUUAUUUUCUGCACUGGAUACUGUUUACCCCUUCAGAUCCACCCUCCUCUGCCCUGCUCUAUGUCUAGGGAACUGCACCCUGCUGGCUGCUGGUUUUGGCCAGUGGCAGUCAUGGGCAGGAGGCUGGAAGCUGGGAGGGAGAAGAAAUUGAGGCCUUUAUCCCUGGCUCCCUCCUUGCCAGGGGGUGGUGGCUACAACUUUUCACCCAGGCCUCAGUGCCGCAGGUCAGCUACAGCUAGAGUUCUGAUAAGGGCCCCUUCCUCCUGCUGCUCCAGGUCCAGAGGUGGUGAUGGCUUCCCCACUGAUGCUAGCCCUGGGGGGACAGUGGCUUCAUUAUCCCUUGUUGGUCUCCCUUAAAAACAAGUAAAUCAAGGAAGCACUCUGCUCUAGACAUACCAACCACAUGUAAGCCAAUUCUUAAACACGCCAUGGUGUCUGGACUUUGUCCAUGACAUUCCUCCUAAAUGGCAAAGCCCUUUCCCUCUCAGCCCACCUGGAAUUAAGAAAGUCCCCUAGACUCCAUUCAAGCGGCACUUGUGUGAAGUCCUUCCUGACCCCACCACACCGCAUGAGGGGUGCUCUCAAGGCUCUGGGUUUAUCGCUGUGCUGCAGCAUACUAAAUACAACUGCCGCUUCUACACUGGUUACGUUGGUUUUCCUCACUAACUGCUGAGUUCCUUGAAGGCGGGCCUGUUUUUAGGCAGCGUUCAGCCCUAGCACGCGGGGCACUUGGCAUCUGACAGGUUCUUGUUAGCUGCUUUCUGGAUGAAAGGAAGGUGGAAAGGACAACACUUUUGAGGCAAACACAGUCAGACGGUUUGUAGGUGAGGAAGUGAAGGCCCAGAACAUUUACACGAGGAGGGCACUCGCCGGGAGAGGGGCUGCAGAAAGUUCCUGGUUGCUGAGUCACAUUCCUAAAUGCUUACCACCUAGACUUCCUUCAGUCCUUUAAAAAUCUAUUUGACAAGAGACACCUUUCCUUUUAAUGCAGUACAUUCGGAGGAAUAACUGGGAAAUCCCUGACAGCACUGAAAGAGAGAGCUGUAGCUAGAAGGAGCCAGAAAGCCAAGGAACCACUUGACGGCUGCAGCGCUCAUCCCCUCGGCACGUAUAUGAAAAAUAGCUACGUUGAUCACCUGACCUCCCUUGGGCGUUAUUGAGCUUGAUGUCCAUCAGCAGGCUCCCCUUGGCUUCCUGGAGGGUCUCAAGCUUGUGGGUGAGGCUUCCAAUCAACUCCGCCUGGAACGAGAGAGGAGACGCAUAGCAAAACUUAGCCAGCUGACUGGUGCCAGUCUUCUUCGCCGAUGGCUGUUCAGCAGUUGGCUGUGAUUUUGGUGUUUCCGUGAGAGGAGCGAACACCCCUGGACCCUGAAGAGGGCUCUGCAAGGUUAGCUGUGGCCGUGCGCCGGGGAGGGGAGCCAUGCCUGAAGUACGACCCAGAACAGGGAGGAAUGGGGACAACGACCCCAUGGACCGAAGAGUGUGAGGGGAAUCCGCACUAUUUUUCUCUACUGAGGAUAGUCCCAGCUAUGCAGAACGGCACGGCCGUGCAGGCUGCCGUGACACCACAAGAACUUGUCCUAUUUCUAGCCAGAGGCCCAGGUCCGGGCUCACCCUCAAGCUGCACGUGUGUGGGACAGACCCAAAGAAGCACGGCAACGGCUUUGAGAACUGAACUGUGACAGAACAACUCACCCAAGUCCCAGGCUCAGCCCUGGAAGGUGCCUGUGUAGAACAGUCACAUAUAAGGCAGUAGAAGCUCUGAAAACUGAAUUGACACUGGAACCAACAGCCAGAGGUGGGACAGAACUUGUAGCCUGAACCUAACUAGGCUGCCUGCUAAAACAAAACAAAAAAUCAACCUUCUUCAGAGGAUUUUCACAGAACCCAAGACUUACACCAUAACACUCAAAAUGUUCAGGUACAAUAUUACCCAGCAUGAAGAGAACCAGUAAAAUGUGAACAGCUCUCAGGGGAAGACAACCAACAGGUGCUAACCCUGAGAUAACCCAAACGGGACGAUAAAAGCCUUUAAAAUAGCUUUUGUAGCUAUGCUCCAUGGUGGAAGUAAACACUCUUGAAAUGGACAGACAGACACUACAAAAAAAUGAAUGGAAAUUUUAGAACUGGAAACUAUAAUAUCUGAAAAUUUAAAAAAAAUCACUGGCAGAAUAGAGGCAGGAAAGUCAGUGAAACUGAAGAUAGAUCAAUAGAAAUUAUCCAAUCUGAAUGAACUGACAGAAAACAUUAAAAAACAUGAACAGGACUUACCUGGUGGCGCAGUGGUUAAGAAUCCACCUGCCAAUGCAGGGGACACGGGUUCGAGCCCUGGUCUAGGAAGAUCCCACAUGCUGCAGAGCAACUAAGCCCGUGCGCCACAACUACUGAGCCCAAGCACCCUAGAGCCCACAUGCCACAACUACUGAAGACUGCGCACCCUAGGGCCUGCGAGCCACAACGACUGAAGCCCGCGUGCCUAGAGCCCGUGCUCCGCAACAAGAGGAGCCACCGCAGUGAGAAGCCCGUGCACCGCAAUGAAGAGUAGCCCCCGCUCGCCGCAACUAGAGAAAGCCCGCGUGCAACGACAAAGACCCAACGCAGCCAAAAUAAAUAAAUAAUCAAAAAUAAAAAAGCCCUAAAAAAAAAUGAGCAAAGUUUCAGAAAUUUGCAGGACAAUAUCAAAAGGUCUAACAUUUGUGUCACUGGAGUCCCAAAAGGAGAGAAAGAGAUUAGCACGUAAAAAAGUAUUUGAAGACAUACUGGCUAAAAACAUCCUGAAUUUAGUGAAAGACGUAAGUUUACAGAAAUCAAGAAGCUUAGUAAACCCCAACAGGAUAAAUCAAAGAAAGUUAGGCCCAUACAUAUCAUAACCAAACUGCUGAAAAUCAAAGAUAAAAAAUUUGAGAGCAGCCAGAGAAAAGCAACACACUGCAUAUAGGAGGAACAAAUAUUCAACGGCUGUGCGUUUCUCAUCAGAAACCAUGGAAGCAAGAAGUGGGACAUUUUUAAACUGCUAAAAGAAAAAGUAUAGUCAACCCAGAAUUCCAUAUCUAGUAAAAAUGCUUUAGAAAUGACAACAGAAUAUAGACAUUCUUAGAUGAAGAAAACUAAAAGAAUUUGUCACCAGCAGACAAAUGCUGCUUUCUUUUCAAAAAAGAAAUGCUAAAGGAAGUUUUUCAGGCUGAAAAGAAGACAGACCAGAGGAAAACUUUAAGAAUAAAGCAAGAGCGACGGAAUUAGGCAGCUGAGAACCAUGUGGGUCACUAAUGAUCUCUUGGGGAAAGCCAGUUCUGAGGAAUAACAGAUUUUUUUGCCUUUUGAAAUAUUCCACUAAGUCUCUAAGCCAAAGCCUUUUGGCCUUCAGAAUAGAGAAUCAUGAGAUCUGGUUAAGCAGAUUUUUGCCCAAUAGAUAUGGCAGGGUUUAGCCAAAGAAUUGAAAGCCCUAAGUAUUAAACUGUCUUUAGAUUUUAUGUAUGUCAGAAGUUCAGAGAGUGAUUGUUUUAUAUUUUAAGUAAUACUUAUAUUUACUUGGAAUAUUACAAUUCAUCAUCUAGGAUAUAUAAAUAAAAAGUAUAUUAAAGUAGAACUGAUUGGAAAUGCUAGUUUCAAAAUAUUAAUAAAUCAGGAUUCUAGUUUCCAUUCACUCUUAGUUUCACGCGUAGAAAUACAUCUUAGGUUUACUAACUUUAAACAUUAGGCAACAAAUUAUUACUUUGCAGAAGUUGGUAGAAGGCUACACUCUGCCUUAGAACCAUCUUGACCAAGCAUCAUGUUUUAAAACCAUCCUUAGGGAAAAUAAAAGCUUGUUAGAGAACUAACAAGCUUUAGGGAAGAGAACUGCAUUUGCGAAGAGAACUGCAUUUUCAACUUCACACUGAAUAUAUUAAUAGAUGCCUUCAACAACAUCAAUUAAAGCCUGCAUAUUUUCUCUCUUUCCAGAUCAGAUAUGUAAAUGCAAGUGACACACAAAUUCUAUUACACGUUAAUAAACCUGUAGUUGCUUAAAACAAAAAAUCUCAUAGGGUUCUCCUCUACCACACGGUAGAAUCCAAACUCUUUGGCAUUUCAGACAAAGCCCCACGUGACCUCCAUGACCUGCCCCCGUGGAUCCCCCCAGCCUUGUCUCCUGCCAUUCAUGGCCUUUCUUUGUUAUUCUCUAAAUUUGGUAAUUUCUAAUUUAAUCAUGAGAAUUUAUUUUAUAAUAUAUUCCCAAACAUCAGACCUCCUGGAAGUAUCUUUCUUCAAUACACAUGCGCUCUCCAUGUUUUUUCACACAACUACCUCUUCUCCCACGCUGUUCCCUUAUGUCUUGAGUGUCCCCUCCUUCUCCUCUUGUCCUGGCUCACUCUGAUUACUUCAGCGUAAAAUGUGACAAUAUUGGCGUCAGAGCAGUUUUGUGUAAAGAAGGUAAUAAGGCACUAAGUAAAAAAACCAUAGCCCACAUCCGGGAUUAAGAAAUGCUUGACAAAUGGUACCUACUGUCAUUUCCUGUGAGGACUAAUCCUCUUAUUCCUUCAUGUUCUCAGGCUAAAAAUACUUCUUGCCACAUAAUCCUCAGAGUGGGAGGGUGAUAAUAAAGGGAUGAAAAAGCAGUUAAAAAGUAAAAUUAAGAUGGGGUGGGGAGGAAAAAGCAACAAGUAGUUUGCCACACUGCUACUGUAGAGCAGGGUACGUCUACGUGCAAAAAACAAAACAACAAAAAACUGUAAAAUGUUCAGUUAAAGAUGUCCCGGCAGGGCUUCCCUGGUGGCGCAGUGGUUGAGAGUCU